UCCCUGGUGGUCCAGUGGCUAAGACUUUGCGCUUCCAAUGCAGAGGGCCUGGGUUCGAUGCUGGUCUGGGAACUGGCUCCCCAGUCAGGGAA
Molecule: non-coding RNA, 92 nt
Organism: Bubalus bubalis (water buffalo)
Lineage: Eukaryota; Metazoa; Chordata; Mammalia; Artiodactyla; Bovidae
Source: the annotation of a RefSeq genome assembly